AUUGAACGCUGGCGGCAUGCCUUACACAUGCAAGUCGAACGGCAGCGCGGGGCAACCUGGCGGCGAGUGGCGAACGGGUGAGUACUACAUCGGAACGUACCCAGAAGCGGGGGAUAACGUAGCGAAAGUUACGCUAAUACCGCAUACCUCGUACGGACGAAAGUGGGGGACGCAAAGGCCCCAUGCUUUUGGAACGGCUCCUUUCUCGGUCGCUCGUUGGGGAGGUUAAGGCUCACCAAGGCGACGAUCAGUAGCUGGUCAGAGAGGAGAACCAGCCACACUGGAACUGAGACACGGCCCAGACUCCUACGGGAGGGAGCAGUGGGGAAUUGUGGACAAUGGGCGCAAGCCUGGUCCAGCAAUGCCGCGUGAGUGAAGAAGGCCUUCGGGUUGUAAAGCUCUUUUGUCAGGGAAGAAACGGCUGGGGUUGAUACCUUCGGCUAAUGACGGUACCUGAAGAAUAAGCACCGGCUAACUACGUGCCAGCAGCCGCGGUAA
Molecule: ribosomal RNA, 498 nt
Filed under: uncultured bacterium
Lineage: Bacteria
Description: partial 16S ribosomal RNA
Rfam family: Bacterial small subunit ribosomal RNA
Source: RNAcentral